RNAcentral lists this ribosomal RNA (433 nucleotides) under uncultured bacterium. RNAcentral describes it as "partial 16S ribosomal RNA". It matches the Rfam family "Bacterial small subunit ribosomal RNA", at positions 29 to 507 of the family's 1533-position model. The record is from RNAcentral.
AACGAACGCUGGCGGCAUGCCUAACACAUGCAAGUCGAACGAGACCUUCGGGUCUAGUGGAGCACGGGUACGUAACGCGUGGGAACCUGCCCUUAGGUUCGGAAUAACUCCCCGAAAGGGGUGCUAAUACCGGAUAAUGUCUUCGGACCAAAGAUUUAUCGCCCUUGGAUGGGCCCGCGUUGGUUUAGCUAGUUGGUAGCGUAAAAGCCUACCAAAGAGACGAACCAUAGCUGGGACUAGAGGAUGUUCAGCCACACUCGGACUGAGACACGGACCAGACUACCCCCGGAAGCAGCAAGUGGGAAUAUUUGACAAUUGGCGAAAGCCCAGUGCAUCUAUCACCCGGGAGCUGGGAAUGUCUGAGGGUUGUAAAUGCCUUUUACCCUGGAUGAUUAUCACAUGACCCGGGAGAAGAGCUCCGGCUAACUCCGUG